GCUGGACAUGGUGGCUCAUGCCUGUAAUCUCAGCAGCUCAGGAAGCUGAGACAGGAGGUUUGAAGCCAGCUUCAGCAACUUAGCAAGGCUGUAAGCAACCUAAUGAGAUCCUGUCUCAA
RNAcentral lists this small RNA (119 nucleotides) under Marmota monax (woodchuck). Lineage: Eukaryota; Metazoa; Chordata; Mammalia; Rodentia; Sciuridae. The record is from RNAcentral.